AUGGUAGGAUAGAGGCCUACCAUGGUGGUAACGGGUAACGGGGUGUUAGGGCACGACACCGGAGAGGGAGCCUGAGAAACGGCUACCACAUCCAAGGAAGGCAGCAGGCGCGCAAAUUACCCAAUCCCGACACGGGGAGGUAGUGACAAUAAAUAACAAUACAGGGUUCUUUGAAUCUUGUAAUUGGAAUGAGUACAAUUUAAAUCUCUUAACGAGGAACAAUUGGAGGGCAAGUCUGGUGCCAGCAGCCGCGGUAAUUCCAGCUCCAAUAGCGUAUAUUAAAGUUGUUGCAGUUAAAAAGCUCGUAGUUGAAUUUCGGGAUCAAUACGUCGGUCGUGCUUUCGGGUACGUACUGGCGUCAUUGGUUUCUCCUUUCUGACGAACCAUGAUGUCAUUAAUUUGGUGUUAUGGGGAGUUAGGACUGUUACUUUGAAAAAAUUAGAGUGUUUAAAGCAGGCAUUAGCUUGAAUACAUUAGCAUGGAAUAAUGAAAUAGGACGUUCGAUCCUAUUUUGUUGGUUUCUAGGAUCAACGUAAUGAUUAAUAGGGAUAGUUGGGGGCAUUAGUAUUCAAUUGUCAGAGGUGAAAUUCUUGGAUUUAUUGAAGACUAACUACUGCGAAAGCAUUUGCCAAGGAUGUUUUCAUUAAUCAAGAACGAAAGUUAGGGGAUCGAAGACGAUCAGAUACCGUCGCAGUCUUAACCAUAAACUAUGCCGACUAGGGAUCGGAUGAUGUUAAUUUUUUAAUGACUCAUUCGGCGCCUUACGGGAAACCAAAGUGUUUGGG
This 785-nucleotide ribosomal RNA is filed under the name uncultured Glomus. Its description in RNAcentral is "SSU rRNA". It matches the Rfam family "Eukaryotic small subunit ribosomal RNA", at positions 325 to 1111 of the family's 1831-position model. Lineage: Eukaryota; Fungi; Glomeromycota; Glomeromycetes; Glomerales; Glomeraceae. The record is from RNAcentral.